AGGCGGAGACUGGCGCGCGCAGGAGACGAGGGAGAGAGAGAGGGGGGAAGGCGACGGUUGACAAGAGGUACAAACAGUGGAAGUCGCUCGUCCCCGUCCUCUAUGAUUAUUGGUUCGCCAACCACAACCUCGCCUGGCCUUCCCUCUCUUGCAGGGUUUUGCAUCGUACAUCUUAGGGUUUAUGCUUCCUUCUUUACUCGACCGUGUCGUGAACGUGGACCCGUGCUAGCUUCGCACUAAGAUGACGUUAGACAGCAAACAUCACGGGAAUACACAUGGGAAUGAGAAGAUCUAUUGUGUGGGGGCCUCAACAUGAGCAAGCAACAUACAAGAAUCGGCAGCGGCUAUACCUCUCUGAGCAGAGACUGGAAUCUGGAAAUGGUUAAGUGUGUAAGGAAUCAGCUGCGACAUUGCAGACUGAUUUCUCUGUGCCAAAUACUCUUGUUAUAGCAAAUUGUGAAGUCGUCAAGCCAAGAGUUGCAGCGGCAGAGCAUAUAUCCCAGUUCAAUGAAGAAGCUCGUUCACCAUUUGUGAAGAAAUACAAAACAAUCAUACAUCCGGGGGAGGUCAACAGAAUCAGGGAGCUUCCUCAGAAUAGCUAAAGAGUUGCAACACAUACUGACAGCCCUGAUGUUUUAAUUUGGGAUGUUGAGGCACAACCUAAUCGUCAUCCUAUGUUAGGAGCUACUGAAUCCCUUCCAAAUUUGGUAAGGAUAAAUCUGUUGUCUUGUGGAGCAUACAUGAUCAUAUCUCUUCUCUAUCAGAGUCAUUGUCAAAGUUGCCUGUCUCAUCAACUCCAAAUUCAAGUGGUAAGCAGCCCACUAAAGCUGGUAAUGUGAAAAGCUCAGGCAGCCCAACUGUUGGACCAAGAGGUGUGUACCAAGGACAUGAAGAUACUGUUGAAGAUGUGCAGUUCUGUCCAUCCAGUGCACAGGAAUUUUGUAGUGUAGGUGAUGAUCCUUGCCAUAUUCUUUGGGAUGCCCGAGUUGGUAGCAGUCUGGUUGUCAAGGUCUAGAAAGCUCAUAAUGCUGACCUUCACUGUGUGGAUUGGAACCCCCAUGACCAGAAUCUUAUUUUGACUGGUGGUCUCCUGACAGAGCAUCAGUUUUUGGAAGUGCUGCUGAGGAUGGCUUCCUCAAUAUAUGGGAUCAUGAGAAGGGAUAAAGUUGUAGAUUCACUGGAAUGCACCGGUGGUGUUUCUGAUGACUGGAAGCACCGGUGGAGGUGGUACCUUGCAGAUAUACAGACCCGAAGACGAGGUUCUGGCGGAGCUGGAGAAGUUCAAAGCCCACAUAUUGUCAUGCUCACCAAAGUCGUAAUAUUUCAGAUAUCGUUUGAGUUCUAAGAGCGCUGUUUAUGUGGUAGUCUCGGCAGGAUAUCCUAAAGCCUUAUCGGGGAUCUGAGUUAUACGUUGACUGCGUUUUUCGUCCAAUUAAAGCUUAUCAGUUUUUUAAAGGUCGUCCAUUGGACAAUGCGUCAAAUUAAAGGUCAAUCGCUUGGUACAUUGCAUAAGUUAUCAGUUUUUUUUUUUUUUAAUGAUCAUCAAUAUUAACCUUUUUUUCUUAUUUUUCUCAUCUUUGGAGAUCAAAUGAAGGGGAGACACAAGACGGGCUUGUAAUAUAGAACAAGAAGCACAAUGACAUGAAUUGUA
Long non-coding RNA from Musa acuminata AAA Group (dessert banana), 1651 nucleotides. RefSeq lists it as uncharacterized. The record is from RefSeq and is a predicted model, not a curated record. The transcript is spliced from 13 exons. Lineage: Eukaryota; Viridiplantae; Streptophyta; Magnoliopsida; Zingiberales; Musaceae.